This 393-nucleotide long non-coding RNA is filed under the name Hordeum vulgare. RNAcentral's name for it is "long non-coding RNA (HVUL_LNC018794)". Lineage: Eukaryota; Viridiplantae; Streptophyta; Magnoliopsida; Poales; Poaceae. The record is from RNAcentral.
UAUUGUGCAAUUGCAAGAACCAUUCUAAUAUUUAGGUUUCUAAUAAUUUGACCUUGCACUUGUAGGUCCUGCUGUAAGAGGUUUAGACCCACUGUUCGAUCCAUUUUACAUGUGGGGAAACACUACACCACGACACAACAAUAAAGACAGGCAUCUGUUGGUAUAAGUGUACAACACCGACACUUUUUUGUCUCAAUCUAUACCGACACACGAAUUAUCACGGUUAUGCAGUUUUAUGACACAUCAUCUGUCGUCAAAGCUUCAACAGAGCACAAACGUAAUUUCUGUCGGCACUUAGAACCUUUGUGGAUAGAAUGUGUGUCGGUGAUUCAUAGGGACAAAAAAAAGUGUCCGCAAUGUUUUGGUUGGGCCCAUGCAAAAAUUAUGACGCCG